AUUAUAAAUGUGAAUGUUAGUAUUUUUCAUUAAUUAGCAUCUAGCAAUAAAUAGAAAAAGUCAUGAUUCUUCUCUCAACAUAAGUUGAAAGGUUUCCUCUUAGGAGUAAUGACCUUUCCUGCACAUUACCUAGCAAUUGACCACUUAUAUGAUGUGUGAAGUCUGAAUUUUACUCAGAUUUGUAAUAUUUAGGCAGUCUAACAUUUCAUUUUGAGGUGGUUUUGUAGGACCUUUCAUUACUAGGCUAUCUGUCCUCUCUGGCUAGACCAUAAUUUGACCCUUUGUAUUGAAAAUUAAAUAAAAAAAAUUUCAUUCUCUUUAUAUCACAUAUAAUGCAAGCAAUCUCUAGAUAUUUUCUAUAAUUAUUGCAGACCUCCAAAGCCUUCUUUGAUAGUCCAAACAGUCCUGACCCCUGGAGGUGAUAUAACUUGUGUGGUAAAAGGGGUGAGCACAGAAAUUUGCCAGCAAUGUCCAGGUAAGUCCCUAUAAGAAAAACUAUAGGACAGUUACAGGAAAAGUGGCUGAGGAGUGGGAAGGAGUGGUUGACCUCUUUUGUACCUUUAAAUGGGGCAGAAAUCAUGUGUCCACAUGCUAUUCAAUAAUAAAUUCUUUUUAUUUUGUUUGUGAUAUACAGGAUGAGUUUCUGUCUGAUUUAUUUGUACAUCAACAUGUGUAUAUAUGUGUAUCACAACAGUAAGCAAGCAGGAUUUCUAAAGAGGCUUUAGUAGAGAUCUACCCCUUCCCCAUCCUCGUGGCAGAUGUACAGUACUUCUUUUGGGAAGGGAUACAUGACCUGGCAGUACUUUGCUUCAGAGAAGUCAAUCAUGGUCACAAUCUUUCCAUCUAUCUUCUUCUGAUGGAAAGAAAAAAAUCAUGUAGGAGCUCAACCCCAUAGAGAACUUCUUUUUCACUGGUCUUCUAUAAUAGAAGAGUAAUAAUACAUGUCCAUUUAGUGCCUGGGCAAAUUCAAACUUACAUUUUUCUUCUGAUCAAGCAUAUUUCUGGUCUUUUCCAGAAGGUUUUUGCUUUCUUUUCCUAAAGGUUUUUGCUUGUUCGUGAUUUACUCAAUUAUUGCCUAAUACGUUCCAGGCACUUUUCUAGGCAUAUUAAGAUGAAGAAAUACAGUGCCGUCUUCAAGAAACACAUCAUCUUAUAAAAGUAACAGGUUGAUAAACAAAUAUUUGUCUUUAUAUUCCUAUAAACAAUCCAAACCCCAAAAGACCUACAGCUUCAAUCUUAUGUUCCCUUCUGGUCCAUCUAGGUGUUUAUCUUACUUUAGAGCAAUUAUGUCUUUUAAAUGUUCUCUGUAUGAAUGAUUUACCAUGAAGUGUAUUUGGAGCAGGGUUUCUCAGCUUAAACUUGAACUCAAACCAAUUGGAAUAAGAAGUCCCCAAAUUUGUUAUGCUCAUAAAUAUUUUAUAAAAUAUGGAAAUUAGCUGUUAACUGAAAAUUAAGAACAAAUGAACAUAGGCCUCUUGGUUUUAAAAGUAUUUUAUAAAGAAAAUUAUUUUAAACUAUUUACUAAAAUAAUUUCAUGCAAAAAUAGUGUAAUGAGUCCCCAUGUACCCAUCACUUAGCCAGUUAUAACCAGUCCACUCUCUUUGUUUCAUCUUUUUUUUUCUUUUUCCUUUUUGUUCUUUUAUGGAAAGUGCUAGAGCAUUUUAAAGCAAAUCCACAGAAUUGUAUCAUUUCUCCCAUAAAAACUUGAUACCUUAAUAGAAAGAUUAUUCUUAAAGAACAUACACACACACACAAAAUAAUAUUAUGACACCCAACACAAUUAACGAUAGUUCUUUAAUAUCUAAUUCCUUGUUUAUGUUUAAUUUUCCCCAACUGUCUCAAAAAUUGUCUUUUUAACAAUUGAUAAAGGACCAUUUUGCAACUGGUAGAUUUUUCUAUUAAGUCUCUUUUAAUGGGCAUCCUUGUACUCACCCCCCCCCUUUUUAAUAUCAUUUAUUUUGGGGGAAAACUAGAAUUUCUUACAUUCUGGAUUUGGCUUAUAUAUUUUUGCAGUGUAAAUUAGCAUACAGGAUUCUGUUUCCCUUUUUUUUAAUUUCUUAAAACUAGUACUUAUAUCUGCAGGCUUAGUUAAAUCAAGUCCUUUUUUCAGGGAUAUUUUAUAGGUAGUACUGUGUAAUUUCUAUUACUUUACAUCAUGUGACACAUAAUAUGUGUUUGGUUUACAUUUGGUGACAUUAAGAUUAAUUACAGGGCUCAGGUGGUGUCAGUUCAGAUCCAUUCAUUAUAAUUUUCCAUUAAUCAUUCACCUAAUGGUUUUAGCAGACACUGUUGAUUGUAACUUACAUUCAUUAGUUCAUUAGGUAUUGCAAAAUAGUUAUUUUCUAAUUCUGUCAUUUAUCCUGAAUUUAUUAGCUGUGAUUCUUUUCUUAAAGAAGAAUUUUCCUUCACCAAGUAUUUGGUGCCCUAAAAUAGUGUUCAUCCCCAAAAAGAAAAAUAAAUGAUUGAUCCUCUACCUUUAUUUAUCAAUUUUGAAAAUAAUGAGUUGGUGCCCUAUCUUGCUUUCUACUGGGUCUUUAUGAUGGUUUAAAAUAUCACAAUAUUAUUUUUCAUUUUCAUUUAGCACUUCUUUAUCUUACAUGGUUCCUUUUCUAUGACAUCUCAGUCUGAUUUCAAAAAGGAACAUUCUCUUAAAUCUUAAAUCUUCUUGAGACCAUAAAUCAUGAAUCUACUGAAAAUUCUUCUUCUUUGUAUAAGUCAGGAAGGAAAAGAAGCCAUGCUAGCUUUUUCAAUUGGUGGAAAUGUAAUCUAGAACAUUGGUUACAAAAGGGGUGGGAGGUCUAAAGAAAUACAGAGGUAAAGAUAUUAGUAACAGCAAGAAACUAUCACCCAUGUAGGCUGAAGGACAAAAGGAAAGUGGUGGUAUGCAGUGUCCACAAUAAUUUUAUCACUAAGGCCACUGGAGCACCUGCAACUGACAUUGGAGCCACUGCUAUUACCACCACUACACGAAGCGUGGAACUCACAUUUGCACUAAUGCUGCAGUAACUGAGAAGACUUCUGUCACUGUUGCUGUUGGAACCAGAAUACCUUAGCACUAUGCUGACGGGGAUGAUAAAGCACUCCCUUCUGCCACUGCUGCUGGACUGAAUUGUCUGAGAAGAACCCAUGAGCCUGCAUUCACUCUGUACAGCUGUCACUGCCAGAGGAGCUACUAAAAUCCUAAAAUAGGAGGAAAAAUGGCUUCUUCUUUUCCUCUUGCCUGUCAGUCUAGUCUCCUGCAGUCUUCCCAUUGAUAGAACCUGACCAGAAGAACUACAUUGUCAAGGGAGUCUUUGAAAUGUAGUUUUCAGACUUCUAUCUUCCUCCAAUAUACAGCAAAACAUGAUGGUGCAGAAAUGAAGCUGACAGCAGAUGGACAAAUGACCACACAUGCUCCUUUUAGUAAAUCCAUUAUUGCAGAGGGAGCCAACUGCUCCAAAUGCUCAGUAAUACAUGGAGCUGCAGAAUUUUUUUUUUCAAAAGUCCUGUGAUUUUCCUUGCUUACUAUUCCAUAAAUAGGAAGUUUUGUGUCUGUCCACUGUGCUCAUAUAGUCUUAAAUAAGAGUUAAACCUUUCAGAAAUUACAGAGAGGACUUUAGUUUCAAAUAAAUGGCAUAAAAUUUAAAAAUAUAUAAAUAUUGACAUCAGAGCAUUUUGAGGUCAAACUAUCUGGGAAAAGAAGAAAACAAAGCCAUGGUCUUUAGUGGUAGCUUCAGAUCUAUAAAACAUCAUGGAUAGGAUCUCUAAGGAAAACCCUCUACCAAACUGGAUCUCUGCUAGGUGAUAGAUUGUGUCUGGAUCCAGGUUGGGCCCUUUCCAAGUAGUCAGUAUACUCUUACUGCAGCCAGUCUGUAAACAUGAGGGGAAGCCAAAGGGAUACUCUAGAGUUCCUCAGACUGUCUUUGUAUCUUAAUGCAGGUCACAAAACCUUUGCCUCUCAUUAUAAAUGUGUCAUGUAAGCGGGCUUGUUUCUACUUAGUUACCUGGAAUAACACCAUGGGUCUCCCAUCCCUUUCCCCUCAUCUUAUCAGUGUUUUACCUUAUAAACAUUUCUCCAAAUGCCUGGUAGAUGGUUGAUACUUAGCUUUGCUUUCCAAGGCUCCUAAAAAUUUCUCCUUUCUAUGCUUUCUCUUUCUAGCUUUGUAAAUAGGAAUUAAAGAGGGGAAUCUUAGGCCCUGUACUUACAAAAUAACCUUGCUGAAAAAUAUACCUGUCCUAUAAUUUUUAUUUCAGUACUUGCCCUAACAUGCUUCAUUACUUGUAGAUAGCUAUAAAAUUUAUUUUAAAAUGUUUCUAUCUAUAUGAUGUAUUAGUAGUUAUUUCAGAAAUUUUAUGUUAAUGUUUUAAAUAAUAUAUUUAUUUAAUAAAUUUUAUUUAGUCAUUUAGUGAAAAGGUAACAUUUUCCUAUGGUUAAAAAUACAAAAUAUAAAAAUGGUAAAUAGUGAAAAACCUCCUUCCCAUCUGUGUGCUUCAGCCGUUCAGUUCUUUUCCCUAGAUUCAGCUCUCAUGUAUUUUUCCAAAUAUAUUUUAUGCAUGAUAGUAUAUCCAUAUAUCCUGCUUUGCCUCUUGCUUUUUUCACUUAAUAUAUACUGGAGAUCACUUCAUAUCAGUACAUAAAUAAAUGUCAAUUCCCCCACACAUAGGAUAAAUUCCUAGAAGUGGAGUUACUGGAUUAAAGGCUAUAGUUUUAGAAAUUCUGAUGGGUAUUGCCAAAUCAUCCUCCAUAGGAAAAUUUAUAUUCCCAUCAUCAAUGUAUAAGAGUAUCGGUUUCCUCACAUUCUCACCAUCACAGUGUGUUAAGCUUUUGAUCUUUGACAGGUGAAGAAACUGUCAUAAUCAGUGUAAUAAAAUAAAUUCUUAUAUUAUAAAUGAAGAUAAGCAUUUUUGUGUGAUUAAGUACUAUUUUUAUCUCCUUUUCUGUGAACCACUGAUCCAUAUUCUUUGUCUAUUAUUUUUUCAAUUGGUUUAAUAGUCUUUUUCUUAUUCAUUUGUAGAAAUGCUUCAUUAUUUCAGGAAAACUAGCCCUCUUUUUGCAAGCUAAGCUGCAAAUAUCUUCCUAUUGUAUCACUUGCCUUUUGUCUUUGUUUAUGGUCAUCUUUCCAAUUUAAAGAAUAUACGAAAGUGAAUUUAUCAAGCUUUUAAUUUAUGGAUUUUGAGUUUUAUGUCAUAGCUAGAAAGAAAUUUCUGAAUAAUUAAUCUAUGGAUUUGAGCACCUUUACAGUCUACUAAACUGUUUAAUUUAUUUGUGUCUAUUUCUGGGCUUUGUAUUCUGUUCCAUUGAUCUGUGUCUACUCUAUGCCUUGUGAUGCAAGUAUUAUUCCUUUGUAAUAUGUUUACUCUCUGGUAAGACAUCUCUCCCUUGUUAAUCUUAUCUUUAGUACUUUAAUGACUUUAGGAUCUCAAGAGGUUCUGAAACUGCAGAUGUAGGCCAUCUUCUUUAAUAUCCAUUUAACAGGAAAAGGCAUUGGGUGAGUCAUAGUCUAUGCAAGCAUGGAGUCAGUAUCCAAUGUCCAGGCUUUUUUUUUUUUUUUUUUUAAUACAAGUUAGUUAACAUAUGGUGUAAUAAUGACUUCAGGAAUAGAAUUUAGUAAUUCAUCACUUACUUAAAAUACCCAGUGCUUAUCCCAACAAGUGUCCUCCUUAAUGCCCCUUGUCCAUUUAGCCCAUUCCCCCACCUAAUACCCCUCCAGUAACCCUCAGCUUGUUCUUUAUAUUUAAGAGUCUCUUAUGGUUUAUCUCCCUCUCUAUUUUUAUAUUAUUUUUGCUUCCCUUCCCUUAUGUUCAUCUGUUUUGUAUCUUAAAUUUCCCAUAUGAGUGAAAUCAUUUGAUAUUUGUCUCUCUAUAGCUGACUUAUUUCACUUAGCAUAGUACAUUCUAGUUCCAUCCACAUUGCAAAUGGCAAGAUUUCAUUCUUUUUGAUGGCUGAAUAACAUUCCACUGUAUACAUAUACCAUGUCUUCUUUAUCCAUUCAUCAGUUGAUGGACACUUGGGCUCUUUCCAUACUUUGGCUAUUGUUGAUAGUGCUGCUAUAAACAUUGAGGUGCAUGUGCCUCCUGUAUCCUUUGGAUAGAUACCUAGUUGUGCAAUUACUGGGUCAUAAGGUAAAUCCAUUUUUAAUUUUUUGAGGAACCCCCCUCCUGUUUUCCAGAGUGGCUGCACCAGUUUGAAUUCCUACCAGCAGUGCAAAAGGGUUCCUCUUCCUCUGCAUCCUUGCCAAUAUCUGUUGUUGCCUGAGUUGUUAAUUUUAGCCAUUCUGACUGGUGUGAAGUGGUAUCUCACUGUGGUUUUGAUUUGUAUUACCCCAAUGAUCAGUGAUGUUGAGAAUUUUUUCAUGUGUCUGUUUGCCAUCUGGAUGUCUUCUUUGGAAAAGUGUCUAUUCACGUCUUUUGCCCAUUUCUUCACUGGAUUAUUUGGGUUUUUUUGGGUGUGGAGUUUGACAAGUUCUUUAUAGAUUUUGGAUACUCCAAUGUCCAGGCUUUUUGCUGGAUGCAGAGAGAAUUUCGGUAAACUGGUGAUUUAAAAUGGUGACUUUUGUAGUCAUCAUAAUUGAAGAAAUUUGGAGACUGUUAAGUGAAUGUUACUGUGUAAAUUUCUGCCCCAUUCUGCCUAAAACUAAAGAAAUGAGGGAGUUAUCAUUUCGGAGAGUCAAUAGAAAAGCCAACACAGAUAAAGGGAAAAAAAACAGAUUUGGCAUUGGAUCUAGAGCAAAGCACGAAGAUCUUGAAUCAACACUACAUUUAUGAAAAUGGAGCCAGAGACAAGUUACGUGUCUACUUAUAUGCCUAUUUGGGUGAUCUUCAGUCAUCUUUCUUAGUUUACGUGCAUGAUUCAGCUUCAACUCUGAUGUAUUAAGUUGUUACUGUCUGCUCUGGGAGAAAAGCAAUAUAGAGACACUUGUAAAAUCUUUGUAAAAUCCUGGAGUAAAUUGUCUCAGUGAAAAGCCUGUUUUGUCACUUACUAGAUGUGGAACUUAAACAAGAUGCAUGAACUCUCUGUGCAGCUACCUCCUCCUCCCCAUUUUCCCUAUCUGUAAAAUGUAAAUAAUAGUAGCUCUGCUUCAUUGGGGUGUCUUGAGAACUAAAUGAGAUUAUAUGGCUGGCACUUAGCAUAUUGUGUGUGCCGAUUAGGUACUAAAUAAUAGUUAUUGUUAGCUGUAAUGAUGAUCAUAAUUUCAUUUAUUUUAACAACUAUAUGAUGAAAAUUUAUUUUUAUUUUCACUUUACAGAAACCAAGGUUUUAUGUCUUUCCCAAUUUCCAUAGUGAGGCUGUUACUGGAAGAAGACAUCACAGGACACCACUGGAAUCUUAUCUGGAAGAUUUACCAAAUCUUGGAGAAAGUGGAACAGGAGUCAAAGAUACAAACUCAACUCAGACUGGUCAAGUAACUGGGAACUUACUGGCUCUCGUAGAUGAGAAGUCUACAACAGAGCAGAUAAGUACUAAUUUUUGGACUAGGUGCCACUUUUCCAGUGAAUCCAGCAAAAGUCCCAAGAUUCACUCUAAUUAAACCAACUUUGUUUAUAUACCUAUCCUUGAAUCACUGUUCCCAAAGAAGGGAAAAUACAGUUUUUCCCAGUCUUGGAGUUGGAGUUAAAGUCAUGUUUCUACUUCACUCCAUGCCCAAAAAUAAGUGAAUUGAGAAUAAAGAAAGGAUAUUUUCUAUAGGAUAAUCAAAGUGGCAUUACCAGAAGAAGGAAGGGAUAGCAGGCAAGCAAAAACAGAUGUUUAUCAUGCAUGAUAAAAAAUGUGAUGAAACAUAUUCUGUUAUUUCAUUCAUUCAUUCAAACAUUAAGAGAAUAAAAAAUAUUACAGCACAGUCUGCCUUCGAGGAAAUUAUAGCUUUUAAAAAUAAUAUUAAUACAUUAUUAUUAUGAUAUACUAGGUUCCACUAAAGGAAUACAAACAAAAUAAGCUAUGAAAAUACAUACUAGGUCCAUCAGUUAUGUUUGCAGAUGCCUUGGCUAUGAUUUUGUUAUUAAAUUUCACAUUAAUUCCCACCACUAACAUGCUAGUACACACGAGUUUGAAAAAAACAAAGACCUCACUCAUAAUUCUUGCUAAGGUGAAUAGCCUUACUUUAGGUGGGUCAUAAUAUAAUACAGAAUCAACAGCUGAGGUAGUGGUUUUUCAUGAUCUGCCACUGCUUGAUGCUUCUAGAAAAGAGUAAGCUGGCAGCAUCCACAUUGAGAAUUUGUUAACUUUGUAUACUACAAUUUACUUUUUGAUGUACAAUGCCACAACUACUAUUAAAUUUCAUACUAUGGCAGGCAGUUAUUUAUUAGAUAGGAAACUGCUCUCUUUAAAAAAUGUCUUUCACUUUUCCACCACUUUAGUAGCACUGCAGUUUAAUUGAAAAUUAGUCCAGUCAAUCUGCUGUGGGCUCCUGAGAAAUAAUUUGUGUGAAUAACUACCACCAAAAACUUCCCCAAGGAAAAGCUUUCAUCAGGACUGAGAACACUUUCUGAUGAUUCUAAUAAUUACCUUUCUUUGAGUUUCUGGCUUACCGAUAUGGUUGUCAUAAAGUGCUUUGCUGAUUUUCUUUCAUGCCUCUUGCUUUUAUAAAUCCCACAACAGAAGGAGAAAACUGGUCAGGACAUGAGUGUUUUUUAAGUACUGCUUUGCAUGAAGUGUUUAUUGAACAAACCCUGAAAAAUAUUCUUCUUGAAUGUAUUAGAACGUGGACCUAAUUCAUGCUUCUAAGUCCCUAAAGAAUUUUCUGUGAUACGGUUGUUAUGGAUAAUGAUUCCACGAAACAUAACUAUUGCCAUGUGUCUUAAAGAUAUAUUAGUGAAACAAAUGUUAUUUAGUUUAAUUGUCCCUGAAAGCAGAGCCAGAAGUAAGAACCAGAGUUCAAGUAGUUUAUUUAGGAGGUGAUCUUAAGAAUCAGGAAUGAGGGAGUAGAGACAGUGAAACAGGAAAGAGAAAAAGUCAGUAUAAGAGUGUUUUGUCAAUGUCACUAUUGGGAGCAUUGGGAUCUCAAUUUUACUGGGAUUGUGAUACAUUUGCAAAAUACUUCCCAGAAUUUUCCAGCCAAAGGACAGGAAGCUGGGGCACUUAUCCACUGGCUCCUAUUCAAUACUCUGCAGGGUAGAAGUGGAGAGAGUGGGCAUCCUUGUCUUAUUCUUCAUCUUAGAGGAAAAACUUUCACCCUUUCAUCAGUCAGUACAAUGUUAGCUGUGGACUUGUCAUAUAUGUCCUUUAUUAUGUUGACUGAUAUUCCCACUAGACCCACUUUGUUGAGAGUUUUUAUCAUAAACGGAAGUUGAAUUUUGUCAAAUUCUUUUUCUGCAUCUAUUGAGAUGAUCAUAUGAUUUUAUCCUUCAUUUUGUUAAUGUGGUAUGUAUCACAUUGAUUGAUUUGCACAUGUUGAGCCAACAUCGCAUCCUUCGAAUAAAUCCCGCUUGAUCAUUGUGUAUGACUCUUUAAAUUUAUUGUUGAAUUUGUUUACUUAUUUUGCUGAGAAAUUUUGCAUCUAGAUUCAUCAGGGAUAUUGGCAUAUAUAUUGGCAUGUAUAUAUAUAUAUUUUUUGUGGCAUCCUUGUCUGGUUUUGCAUCAGGGUAUAGCUAGCUUCAUAAAAUGAGUUUGAAAAAGUUCUCUCCUCUUCUAUUUUUUUUUCUUCUAUUUUGAAAAUUAUUGGUAUUAAUUCUUCUUUGAGUAUAUGAUAGAAUUCACCAGUGAAACAAUUUCAUCCUAGAUUUUUGUUUGUUAAGAGGUUUUUGAUUACUGAUUCAAUCUCCUUACUAGUAAUCAGUCUGUUCAGAUGUUCUAUUUCUUCAUAAUUCAACCUCAUAGGUUGCAUAUUUCUAGGAAUUUAUCCAUUUAUUCUAGGCUGCCCAAUUUUUUGGCAUACAAUUGUUUAUCGUGGUCCUUUUUUUUUAAUGUUUAUUUUUGAGAGAGAGAGAGAGAGAGAGAGAGCACUCAUGUGAGUGGGGGAGGGGCAGAUAGAGAGGGGGACAAAGGAUCCAAAAAGGCUCUGUACCAACAGCAGAGAGCCUGGAGUGGGGCUCAAAUCCAUGAACAGUGAGAUCAUGACCAGAGCCGAUAUCAGAUUCUUAACUGACUGAGCCACCCAGGCACCCCGUUAGUAGUCUUUUACUGUCCUUUGUAUUUCUGUGGUAUCGAUUUUAACAUCUUUUCUUUCAUUUCUGAUUUAUUUGAAUCCUCUCUCUUUUUUUUUUUAAUCCAUUCAGCCACACUUCCAGACUGUCAUGUAAUUGGGAUCAUAGAGAUAUAGGUUUUCCAGAUUGGCUUCUGUCACUUACUAAUAUGCAUUUAAGAUUCCUGUGUUGCUUUGUAGCUUGAUAGUUCAUUUAUUUUUAUCACUAAACUAUAUUCCAUUGUAUGUAUGUACCACAGUAUACAUUUAUCCAUUCACCUAUUGAAGGACAUCUUGGUUGUUUCUGGUUUGGGAAAAUUAUAAAUAAAGCUGCUACAAAUAUUUAUGUGUAGGGUUUUGUGUGCACAUAAAUGUUCAAUUUAUUUGGGUAAAUACUUACAAGUGCAAUUGUUUGAUCAUAUAGUAUGCAUAUGUUUAGCUUUAUAUCAAACUGCCAAACUAUCUUCCCAAGUGCUGUAUACCACUUUGCAUUCUCACCAACAAUGAGAGUUCCUGUUGUUCUGCAUCCUUCCCAGCAUUUGGUGUUGUUACUAUUUUGGAAUUAGAGUUGGUAUCCCAUUACUGUUUCAAUUUAAAAUUCACUGAUCACAUGUGAUGUUGAGUACCUUUUUAUAUGCUUAUUUGUGUCUCCUUUCCUUUUUUUUUCAUGGUUAGGUUAACUAAGGUUUAUCAUUUUUUGCUGAUCUUUUCAAAGAAGCAGCUCUUGGUUUCUUUGAUUUCUGGUUUUCGAAUUCAUUAAUUUCUUCUCAUUUUCUUCUCCUCUGCUUGCUUUCACUUAAACUGCUCUUCCUACUCUAAUUGUCUUAGGUGGAAAUAGAUUAUUGAUUUUAGAUCUUUCUUCUUUUUUAGUAUAAUUGUUCAAUGCCAUAAAUUUCCCUGGAAACAUUGUUUUUGCUGCAUCCCACAAAUUUUGAUAUUUAGUUUGAAAUAUUUUAAACAUUUCUUUGGUGACUUCUUUCAUCCGCUUGUUCUUUAGAAGUGUGUUGUUUAAUGUCUAGUUAUGGGAUUUUUCAGCUGUCUUUCUGUGCACUAUUGUCUGAGAUCAUUCUUUAUUUGAUUUCUACUAUCUUAAAUGUGUUAAGAUGUGUUUUAUCAUCCAGAAUGUAGUUUAUCUUGGUGAAUGAUCUCUGUGAGUUUGAGAAGAAUGUGUAGUCUGCUGUUGUAUGAAGUCUUCUAUACAUGCUAAUUUGAUCUAAUUGAUUGAUGAUACUAUUCAGUUAAUUGUAUUCUUAGUCCUUUUCUGCCUGCAGGAUCUGUCAAUUAUUAAGAGAGGGGUGUUGAAGUUUUCAACUACAAUAGUGGCUUUGUCUGUUUCUCCUUGCAAUUCUAUUGGGUUUUGCCUCAUGUAUUUUGAUACUGUGUUGUUAGGUGCAUACACAUUAAAGAUUUUAAUUUCUUCUUAUAGAUUUGACCCCUUUGUUCAUUAUUCAAUACCCCUCUUUAUCAUCAGAUAAAGAUUUUUCUUGUUCUGAAGUCUGCUUUGCCUGAAAAUAACUAUUCCAAUUUUCAUUUGUUAGUGUUAACAUGGUAUAUCUUUCUCCAUUCCUUUACUUUUUAAUCUAUCUGCAUGUUUCUAUCUAAAGCGAGCUUCCUGUGGAAAACAUAGUUGUGUAUUUUUUAUCUGUUUUAACAAUUUGUCUUUUAAUUGGCAUAUUCACAUUUUAAGUAGUUAUUGAUAUGGUUGGAAUAAUAUCUGUCAUGUUUGUAACUCUUUUCUAUUUUUUUCCACUCUUGUUUGUUUCUUGUCUUUUCCUGUUUGUCUGCCCUCUACGGUUUUAGUUGAACAUUUUAAUUCUAUUUUCUAUCCUCUUUUAGCAUAUCAAUUGCAUAAAUUAAAAAAAAAUUUUAAUGUUCAUUCAUUUUUGAGAGACAGAGAAAGACAGAGGGUGAGUGAGUGAGGGGCACAGAGAAGGAGACACAGAAUCUGAAGCAGGCUCCAGGCUCUGAGCUGUCAGCAUAGAGCCCAAUGCGGGGCUCAAACCCAUAAACCACGAGAUCAUGACCUAAGCUGAAGUUAGAUGCUUAAUCGACUGAGCAACCCAGGUGCUCCCCACUUUUUAAAUUAUUUUUUAAAUACUGCAUUAAAUAUUUUUAGAGGUGCCCUAGAGUUUGCAAUAUACAUUUACAAGUAAUCUAAUUCUGCUUUUUUUUUUAAUUCUACUUUCAAGUAACACUAUACUACUUCAUAGAGAGUGCAGGUACCUUAUAACAAGGUAUUUCCAACUCUUCCCUCCCAUCCCUUAUAACAUUGUUGUCAUUCAUUUCACCUAUCUAUAUGCUAUAAUCUCCCAGAACAUUGUUGCUAUGAUUGCUUUGAAGAAACAGUAAUUGAUUAGAUAAAUUAAGAAUUAGAGAGUUGUAUGUCAAUUAUACUUCAAUAAUAGAAAAGAAUUAGAAAAACAAACUAUUUUUCUUUGCCUUUGUUUAUUUCUUCCCAGGUAUUCUUCCUUUCUUUAUGUAGAUCUGAGUUUCUGACCUGUAUCAUUUUGUUUUUCUCUGAAGAACUCUUAACAAACCUUGUAGUAUAGGUGUAAUGGUGACUCCCUCAGCUUUUGUUUGUCUGAGAAAGUCUAUUUCUCCUUCCUAUUUGAAUCAUGAUUUCACUGAAUACAAUUUUUUAUACAAUUUUUUUAUGUUGGUAGUUUUCCUUUAAAAAUCUUAAAUAUAUCACUCUACUCCCAUUACAUUUGCAUGGUUCUUCACUAGAAGUCUGAUGUCAUUCUUAUAUUUGUUCUUCACAGGUAACAUGUUAUUUUUAUCUGGCUUCUUUCAAGAUUUUCUCUUUGCUUUUGCUUUUCUGAAGUUUGAAUGUGGUAUGUAUAAGUGUAAUUACUUUUUGGUAUUAAUCUUAUUUGAUAUUCUAUGAGCUUUCUGAAUCUAUGGUUUGGUAUCCGUCAUUAAUUUUGAAAAAUUUAUAGUCAAACAUUUCUUUCAUUCCUUUCUUUCCUCUCUUUCCCAUAUUCCCAUUACAUCUAUGUUAUCCCUUUUCUAAUUGUCCCACAGUUCUUGGAUAUUAUCUUUUUUUUUAAUCUUUUCUCUUUGCAUUUGAGUUUGGGAAAUUUUUGCUGAUGUGUCUUCAAGGACACAGAUUCUUCCCUCAGCAGUGUCCAGUCUUUGAAAUGAGCCCAUUAAAAGCAUUUUUCAUUUCUUUUAUAGUCUGUUUUCUAGCAUUUACUUUUGAUUCUUUCUUAGAUUUUCCAUAUCUUUGCUUACAUUAUUCGUCUGUUCUUAUAUGUUAUCUACUUUUUUCCUUGGAUUCUUUAAUAGAUUAAUCAGAGUUAUUUAAAAUUCCCUAUCUAAUAAUUCCAAAAUAUGUGCCAUAUCUGAGUUAGUUUCUGAUGUUUGCUUUUUCUUUUCAGAACAUGUUUUUUUGUAUUUUUUUUAACACAGCUGGUAAAUUUUUGGUGUAAGUCAGAUAUGAUGUAUUAGGUAAUAGGAGCAGGUAAUGGGAUUUUUACACUUGAUCUUAGCCAAAAGGCCGAGAAGCAAUGUGAUUUUUGGUGAGGUUGUAUGAUAAUAUUUCUCCUAGGAGAUAGGCUGUGUUUAAUGUUUGCUGUAGCUGUAGGUGCCAUAGGCUUCAGCUUCCUCUAGUUUCCAUGUGUUUCUUUGUUUUGUUUGUUUUUACUCCCCUUGUCUUUGUGCUUAACUAAGUUCUUAAAUUGAGUCUGUAUUACAGAUGUCUCAGCUGUAAUCUACUGACAUACUGAGGUCCUGCUGAUGUGAUGGUAAGGAAUUAUGGAGGAAACAUUUUCUAUAAUCUUAUGAUAAAAAUCUCAUUUUUCUAGGGAGCAUAAGUCCCUGGGCUUCAGUAGUGCUUCUUACCUUUUGUUUUUCUCCUUUCCUCCUUACCAGUGAUAGGAAGGCUAAAGGGGACUUGAUGUGGCCAAGUGCCCUCUUUAGGUCAAAUAAGACUCUGAUAGUGUAGUUGCCCUUGAAGGGUAGGUUUUUCCUAUAGAGGGGCUCUGGGAGUAUUUCAAAAUGGUUACUUUUUCUCUCCCCACAGAAAGAAAAUUUUCUCUCAUCUUCAAGGCAAGAAUCUGGUGAGAUUGCUAGAGGUUAAACCCAUGAACAUGUGGGGGUCUCUCUAAGACUGGGCCCUAGGAGUUUCUAACUCUCAAGCUAGUCUAUAUUCAGUCUCCAGAAAUUCAUCAAAAUUAUCAUGUGAGCGUUCCUACCCAUUUAUAUCUACAGUGCCUUCUGCCUCAGAUAAACUGAUCUCAGCUGUGGUUCUCUAUAUUCACCAGUCUUUCUAGAUUUGGGUGUGGCAAUUUGCUCUGUAACUUCAGUUCUUUGAUGGAUCUAAGAAAAGUUACUGCUUUUCAGCUUGUUCAGUGUUUUUCUUGUUGUAAGCAUGGGAGUGACAACUUCCAAGCUCUUUACAUGUCAUUCUCAAAAAACAUAUUUUAACACCCUUAUUGAAUUGUAUUUUACAUAUUAUAAAAUUCGCCUAUUUCAAAUGUACAAUUGAAUGUUUUUAGAAAUUUACUGAGCAGUGCAACCAUCAUCAUAUAUCAGUUUUAGAAUAUUUUCACUUCCCAAGUUGGGGAAUAUACUUUUGAUAACUCUAACUCCCUUACAGAAAUCCUCCCACAUGUCCAGGCCUAAAUGCCCUUGCUGAUAUUCUCCAAAGUUUUACUCUAUCUGGUAAAAUACUAUGUGCUAGAACUCUUCUUUCUCUGUUUUGUUUACCUCUGUGAUUGGAUUUGGAGUUAGAAGAUUCCAUGUUAUCACUUACUGUCUUUAUCAUCAUAGGCAAUUCACUUUAAACUUUGGAGAAUUUCCUGAGUCAAGAAAGCAGAAAUUAUUUAUCCUGAUAUUCCCUACAACUAGCAAAAUAGUGGGAACAUAAGUGAUGAUCAGUAAAUAUUUGUGAAUGAACAAAUCUGGAAUCACUUUCAAGAUUCAUGAAAUGGUGAUGUUGGACAAGAUUAGGAGGUGUGUUCAUGAAUCUAUGUACACAGUUUUGAGGGGUACAGGAAGGUCAUGAUACCAUAUAAAAAAUUGGGGGGAUAUAGCUUUCAUGAGAUUUUCAAAGGGUUCAAGCCCCAAAGGAGUGAAGAGCAAUGGACUAGAUAAUAUCCAAGGACUUUUGCAGCUCAAACAUUCUGUCAGUCAAUAUAUACCUGUAUUUUUUGUUCCUAACUCAGGACUUUUAUAACCCAGAUGUUAUAUAACUUAGAGCCUUUUGGCAUUUGUCUCUAGUUAUUAAUAAUAUUUCCUAUUAUACCACAUAUAUGAAUUUGUACAAGCAAUGGUAAAAGGUAGAGCCCACAUUAUUUAGGCUCAAAGAUCGCCAGGUACUAAUUCCCCCAAAUCUAAAUCUUGGUAUCUCACCGUCUCUAGCACACCAUGAAUACUGAAGUUGAAGGACUGAAGGGAAAAUAAAUUACCAGGUCUGCAAAUCAGACUUGGGCUUAACUUAUCCAAAUAGCAGCAUGUGUGGAAGAGGUCAAAAUGAGAGUUUAGUUUGCCUAGCCAGACCCAAGAGCCAGGCUCUGUUUAGACCAGCUUAUCACUUCAAAGUAAAACACAGGAUCAUCCCUUAAAUGACCACCAUGAAUUAGGUCACAACUCUUCAUUUUUUUAGGAGGCAAACAGGUGGACAAAAGAGGCAGAUCUGAUGUGGAAAGAAGGUGCUGAAAUUUCCCUCCCUCCUACCUUGGACAUUAAACUUACUUUGAUUGAUAGGCUGUCAUUCAUCACUCAAGCAUGAUUUUGCCUUGAGCAUAACUUGAAUUUGAAGAAUGCUUUGUUGUUCUAACAAAUGCUUUAUUGUUCUUGCUACAUAACCUUUCCGCAGGCCAACUUCUGUAGCAUUUCCACAUAUCCUCAUUCAGCCAUGAAGUUAUUGCUAAUACUUAGACUCUUGACAGAUUGGAUUUAUGCUUAAUCAAAAAAUUUUUACUCACUCAUACCAAAUACAUACACACAGAUAUGUAUAUAUACAAAU
Molecule: long non-coding RNA, 16068 nt
Organism: Acinonyx jubatus (cheetah)
Lineage: Eukaryota; Metazoa; Chordata; Mammalia; Carnivora; Felidae
Exons: 2
Source: RefSeq, a predicted model, not a curated record